This 413-nucleotide ribosomal RNA is filed under the name uncultured bacterium. RNAcentral describes it as "bacterial SSU rRNA". It matches the Rfam family "Bacterial small subunit ribosomal RNA", at positions 505 to 916 of the family's 1533-position model. The record is from RNAcentral.
GUGCCAGCAGCCGCGGUAAUACGGAGACUACAAGCGUUACUCGGAUUCACUGGGCGUAAAGGGUGCGUAGGCGGCCGGGUAUGUCGGGUGUGAAAUCUCGAGGCUUAACCUCGAAACUGCGCUCGAAACUGCCCGGCUAGAGACUCGGAGAGGGUAGCGGAAUUCUCGGUGUAGCGGUGAAAUGCGUAGAUAUCGAGAGGAACACCAAAGGCGAAGGCAGCUACCUGGACGAGUUCUGACGCUGAGGUACGAAAGCAUGGGGAGCGAAAGGGAUUAGAUACCCCUGUAGUCCAUGCCGUAAACUUUGUACACUAGGUUUUGGGAGAUUCGACCCUUUCAGAGCACAAGCUAACGCGUUAAGUGUGCCGCCUGAGGACUACGGCCGCAAGGCUAAAACUCAAAUAAAUUGACGG